UUGUACUUAGGUAUAUGAUGAACUUUGACUGAUGUGGGAACGAGUGAGUGUUGAGAUGUACCUGAGUGUGUAGUUGCUGAGCAUAAGAGUGGAAGAUAGGUCUACUUGUUGUACCUAUCGAUCGUCUGAUACGAGAUAGUGACUCCCUUUGGCCUUUUGUGUGAAAAGGGGGUGCUUGGGUAUUGAGUCUUCUUUGUAUGGGGGUGAUGGUGUUUGCCUUGUCCUUGUGUGGCAGGAAACAUGUUCCUUAGCCAGGUAGG
This 260-nucleotide long non-coding RNA is filed under the name Vigna radiata. RNAcentral's name for it is "long non-coding RNA (VRAD_LNC012781)". Lineage: Eukaryota; Viridiplantae; Streptophyta; Magnoliopsida; Fabales; Fabaceae. The record is from RNAcentral.